Long non-coding RNA from Drosophila navojoa, 720 nucleotides. NCBI's taxonomy places the organism in Eukaryota, Metazoa, Arthropoda, Insecta, Diptera, Drosophilidae. The record is from RefSeq and is a predicted model, not a curated record.
AGAGUGACAGAGAGAGAGAGAGAGCCAAUUCCACUGUCUGCAUGUUGGCGUCUUGUACUAGCGAGCUUUUGACGCUCAGCUGCGCCAUAUUGUACUAGUCAGCUUUUUGUCGUUCAGUCUUCGCUCCGUGUGCUGCGCCGCUGGGCUGCGCAGCUGCUGUCCCAAGCAACGAGACGUGCAAUUUGUUUACAAUAAACAGAAGAAUUACACAUAAAGACUACUAAUUUUGUAUAUGCCUAGAAGCUGCUUCAUUUAUUAUGGCUCAUUUCAUAAAGAAAAUGUUGCAAACAAAAGUUACCACCAAAUAAACACACACACACACACACACACACGCACACAUACACAGACAAAGUGAUCAUAAAAAAUAAAAAAAAAAUACAAACAAAAACUAGAUACAGAAAUAAAACAAACUAACAAACUUUGAACCAAGAACAUCGAAUUAAAUUGUAAAUUGUAGUUUCAACAUACAAGAGGCAAAACAGCUAUGAAAACUAAAUAUACAUAGUAUAUAUACAUACACACAUACAUGAUUACAUACAUGCAUAUGUGUAUAUACAUAUAUGUGUGUGUGUGUGUGUGUGUGUCUGUGUGUGUGUGUGUGUGUGAAAACAACGGCAUGCAAAGCUAUGCAGAUGCAUUAAGUGCCAAGGGCUAUCGCAGCUUUGGCUUUGAUACUGACGUUGAAAUGGACAUGGACCCAGACAUGGGCUUGAGCAUACG